GGAGAGGUGGCAGAGCGGUUGAAUGCGGCUGUCUUGAAAACAGCUGGGUGAGUAGCCCCGGGGGUUCGAAUCCCUCCCUCUCCG
RNAcentral lists this transfer RNA (84 nucleotides) under Chloroflexia bacterium. Its description in RNAcentral is "tRNA-Ser". It matches the Rfam family "tRNA". Rfam says of the family: Transfer RNA (tRNA) molecules are approximately 80 nucleotides in length. Their secondary structure includes four short double-helical elements and three loops (D, anti-codon, and T loops). Lineage: Bacteria; Bacillati; Chloroflexota; Chloroflexia. The record is from RNAcentral.